This is a long non-coding RNA of Hippocampus zosterae (dwarf seahorse), 1507 nucleotides long. RefSeq lists it as uncharacterized. The record is from RefSeq and is a predicted model, not a curated record. The transcript has 2 exons. Lineage: Eukaryota; Metazoa; Chordata; Actinopteri; Syngnathiformes; Syngnathidae.
CAAGUGAAUAAGAGAUUAAGAGGAAUGCACACACACUGAACUGAACUCGUUUUCAGGGAGGUUGUCUCGUUCUGUUAAGAAUCCUAUAGACUAGAGUUCCUCGAGGAAGACAAGUUCAUUUUAAGAGAAAAUAGGAACAAGGAACAAGAGAUGCGCAUACUAUGAUCUUAUUUUAGGAGGGGUUGUUUCAUUCUGUGAAGAAUCUUGGACACAGGAAUUCCUCAAAUUUAAUAAGAUCAUGUAGAGAAUACAGGAGAAUUCACUUGAUAGAGAUUUGCGAAUACAGAGGUUCGCGAGUCAAGAGGUUGGUGAGUCAGAAGUUUGUGGACAACGAAGUUCACGGCUAUUAAAUACUGCAGUUCGUGAAUAAAAGGGGUUCCCGGGAAAAAGAAUAAAGGGAGUCACACAUUUCAAGUUACAGCAAAAGGAAGGGCGAGAUUGAUAGGGAAAGAAUUGACCUCCAUUUGUGUGACAUUAAUAAAAAUAAAUAAGGCCGCUAAGAAAAUAAAAAGAGGAGGGGAGAAGAGGAGUUUGUAAUCUGUGUGUCGUGUCCUUCUUUGUAAUUUGUUUUGUGUUGUUAAAGUAUAAAGAUGGAUGGGGAAUUUGAUAGGGAGUUGGAGUGGUUCAAUACCCGUGUUAUUCCAAACCACGGCCGUAAUGUGCUGCUAAGUGAUCAAGUGAGAAGUGCAUGUAGUGUGUGUGUGGGCGCUUUGCCAGAGAAAAGUAGAGAAGAAAAAAGGGAUGAACUGAGAGAGUGGGUGAGAGAAUGUUGUGACAAUGGCUGGAUGUCUUCGGCUGCGUGCUUGGUGACUCUGAUGAAAGAAGUAGAAAAAGCAUGUUUGAAUAAAAAGGAAAAAUUGGAGGAAGAUGUGAAAAUUACAAACAAGUUGUCUCCGAGAGGCAGGAAGUGUGGGAGUCAAGCAGCUGCCCUCUGCGCCGCCACCCUAUUGUGAGUCUGCCGUGGGGCGACAGAGCGUGCCUAUAAACCCUUUCACCGACUCACCUUAUGCAAACGUAAAACAAAUGCUUUAAGAUACAUCUGUACCGGUUUGUCCUAUUUUGUCAGUUAAUGGAGGCAGCCUACAAGUGAACUGGGAUGGAGUUGGCGCUGCGCGUCGACCACCUUCUGAUCCGACCAGACAGACAGCUGCGGACUCGCUGGCUGCAGGAGUCACUGCUUCAAUCGACAUGAUACAAAAAGAAUUUGAUAAACUAAUGAAAUACAGGUGUGAGCCGCGACAAUUGCUAGACAGAGCUAUAAAAUUAAAAUGUUUGUUGACAAGACAUGAGGAAGUGCCGAGGAAUGUUAAUGACAAUCUACUCACACUCUUAAAAGAAGCAGAGGAGAAAGCACACAGAAAGGAAGAGGAAGAGAUGAAACGAAGCCGUGAGGCCAGAGAUGUUAUUUUUGAAGAGAGACAGAAGGAGAUAGAGGAGGGGGAAUGACGAAAGCAUAUGGCGACUGUGAAUACACACCUAUACAUGUCCCAGCUGCAGAAGGAGAUGA